AGCAGCAGAGCGUUGCUUCAUCACGGCUUUUACAGGGAAAUACGUUGUGGAGAGCCAGGAGAACUACCGUGAAUUCUUGAAGGCUCUUGGAAUUGAAGUUCCCAAGGAUUCCAGCAGUGAUGACAUGAUAACAGAUAUCUAUCAGAACGACUAGUUCAAGUUGAACAAAUCUUUGAUGGACAAGACCUGGAACAACUUGUUCGCCAUUGGGAAGGAGAGCGAACUGAAAACUCUGGAUGGAGAGACAUUCAAGACCACUGUCACUUUGGAUGGAGGUAAACUCAAGAUUCAGUUCCCCAAAUACCUUUACACCGCUGAGAUGGUUAGUGGCAAGCUUGUUGAGGUCAACACCAUCGGUGCCGUUACUAACAAGAC
Molecule: long non-coding RNA, 375 nt
Organism: Sebastes umbrosus (honeycomb rockfish)
Lineage: Eukaryota; Metazoa; Chordata; Actinopteri; Perciformes; Sebastidae
Exons: 4
Source: RefSeq, a predicted model, not a curated record